GAUAGCAGCAUUAUGCAGUUGACCACUUCCUCUCCUGUCGCCUCUCCUCUUGGCACCGGGACAGACGGCGAUGUUGGCCACAAUCUGCCCACCUGCACAGGGACCAUUAAAGCCUUAAUAGCAGCAUAUGGUGUCCAAGACGUCUGCUUCACGCUGUUACCACGAACAAAAGGUAACCAUCUAGCUUCAGUAUCACCUGGAUCUGAGGACAUUAGAGUCAGAGGAGAAGAUAAAUCACCUCUCAAAUCCAACACCAUAGGAACAGCCUUACCUGGAUAAGCUCCACUACCUGUGUUUCUCAGCAGAUUUCAUCACCGCUGGAGGCACGUUCGCUUGAUUCAUGAAGCAGAUAAAAGAGGUGCAUGUGGAUUACGGCCCGACUCCUGACACAUGAACGCAACGCACAUUUGUGUCUCCAGACGGCUCCUCCUCUCAUCUUCAUCCCCGCCAGAAAAUGACCCAGAUUCUCCGGGCUGCUGGAUGUGUUUACAUACACAGCUCACUGAUGACAUUGUCAGUCAGAAAGCAUCGCUCUCAGCAGCUCUGACUGUAACUAAAGCUCCAAUCCACCUCCCAUCAUGAUGAAAUACUCUGCAGAGCUGCACAUCCCCGCUGUGCUCUGACUGCAUGCUUGAUGGUGUUAAUGGCUAUUGAUCCUCCUGGGCUGGCAGACAGCCAACAUAUCCUGAUGUUACUCCUGCUACAUAUUUUUAUUUUCGCGCUGAAUCACAAGCUGCCCUCUGUUAUUAAACUCCACAAAGGUUUCUGGUGUCAGAAAAGGUUUAUAUCUCUCUCCUCUCCCUCGUCAUGAAUAUUCAGAAAAGGUCAAGUCCUUGCUCUCCUCUCGCUCUCCCUCUCCCCCGUGACUGUGUCCUGGAUAAUCUGUCCCUGAUUCAUCUCUUGUUUCUGUGCUUGUUUCUGCCCCAGCUGUACUGUGAUUUUUUAUUACUGAGGUGGGAGGGGUAAUUUGGAUUUGUUGUGUUCAACAUCUGGCCAUGUCAUUAAGCCCAAAUUUUGAUUUAUGCGUCAAUAGUAUCUUAUAUCUCAGCGGGUAUCCCCAUGCUGUUCUGCAUUUAAGCUACGAACGUUUUACUGAACAGGAAACUCGCUAAUAUUCCUUCAGUUGCAACACCUGGCCUAAAUACAUGACAGGAUGUCAAUUAAUCAUUUUUAUUUAUAUAACACCAAAUUACAACAAAAAUGAUCUCAUAAUCUUUUAUUUCAUUGCUCUAUUGUAUUUGUUUUGCUUGUCUACCCCUUAUUAAUGUUGGUAUGAAUGUGAGGUGUGUGUGUGUGAAGUGAUCAGUGUUCUGGGGUGGGUGGGAUCUCAAGGGUGUUUCUGUUAAUGUGUUUUAUAACAUCAUCCACAGAACUCUGUUCCAACUGUUACGUGUCACAAAACCUACUUUGUAUUUGUCUGUGCAUAAAAAACCAAUAAAGAAACUUUGGAAUAAUC
Molecule: long non-coding RNA, 1456 nt
Organism: Notolabrus celidotus (New Zealand spotty)
Lineage: Eukaryota; Metazoa; Chordata; Actinopteri; Labriformes; Labridae
Exons: 3
Source: RefSeq, a predicted model, not a curated record